CAGGACGAACGCUGGCGGCGUGCCUAAUACAUGCAAGUCGAACGAACGGAUAAAGAGCUUGCUCUUUUGAAGUUAGUGGCGGACGGGUGAGUAACACGUGGGUAACCUGCCUCACAGCUGGGGAUAACAUCGAGAAAUCGAUGCUAAUACCGAAUGUGCUGAACAUCAUAAGAUGUUCAAGUGAAAGACGGUUUCGGCUGUCACUGUGAGAUGGACCCGCGCUGGAUUAGCUAGUUGGUAAGGUAAUGGCUUACCAAGGCGACGAUCCAUAGCCGACCUGAGAGGGUGAUCGGCCACAUUGGGACUGAGACACGGCCCAAACUCCUACGGGAGACAGCAGUAGGGAAUCUUCGGCAAUGGACGAAAGUCUGACCGAGCAACGCCGCGUGAGCGAAGAAGGCCUUCGGGUCGUAAAGCUCUGUUGUUAGAGAAGAACAUGGGUGAGAGUAACUGUUCACCCCUUGACGGUAUCUAACCAGAAAGCCACGGCUAACUACGUG
This 500-nucleotide ribosomal RNA is filed under the name uncultured bacterium. RNAcentral's name for it is "bacterial SSU rRNA". It matches the Rfam family "Bacterial small subunit ribosomal RNA", at positions 25 to 507 of the family's 1533-position model. The record is from RNAcentral.